Molecule: long non-coding RNA, 6468 nt
Filed under: Sus scrofa (pig)
Lineage: Eukaryota; Metazoa; Chordata; Mammalia; Artiodactyla; Suidae
Description: lncRNA (ENSSSCG00000059937.1)
Source: RNAcentral
CAGAAAGAAGAGAGAGAGGGCUGCUGGCAGGUUCAUUUGAGUAACUCGCCUGGAGGAAGUGUCCACACCACCUCCAUGGCCACAUCCCACCCUGGGGUGUGCGAAUGGGCAGAAAGGCUGUUGGAGCAGCAUCACACAAUAUGGGGAAUCUUUCCCACGCAUUUAAAAAAAAAUCACAGGCUAUAAAUAUUGUCAACUUGCUUAUUUCUGUCUGUUGUAAUCAUCAUAAAACUUUAGCGUUUAAGAGAGCAUGCCAACUCACAUGGAGUUCAAUGACUUUUUAAAAAUACAGCAUCCAGUCAGACCUAUGUGGGCGUCAUUGGAGAAUUUUUUUUCUUUCUUCCUAUUUUCAUAGGAAGCAUAGUAAAGAGGGUGGCUGGUUAUCUGCUCAUUUUGUAGAUAAGUUAUUUGUUUUCUUCUGCAUUCUUUUGGGCUGUUUUUACAGAGGAACUUAGAAAAAAAUCUCUGUCGUUGAGAGCUUUAUGAAGACAUCCAGCCUCAGCCGGGGGCAGAAGUGUCUAUCUUGCUCCUUGCCUUGCAAAAGGCGAAGGCAUCCGAAAUGUCCCGGCCCCGUUUGUUUCUGCAAGCUGAAGGGACAAUAUUUCCUGAACGAUAAAUAUAAUAGGAAGCUGCUUCUGGUCACACUUACUUAGGGGUCUGUUAGGGUUUCCAUGGUCUAAUUCCACAACAUUAUGCCAAGAUUCCUUUUUUUCCCCCUCCUCUUUCCCCUGCUUCAUUGUUGGCAGCUCUGGGAGAGCAGGACAGAAUUUUCUACCAGAAACGGAGUCAUGUUCAUUUGUUGAGAUGUGAAGAGUAUUAUAUCCAAACAAUUAGUGAGGGGAAAGCAAAUUACAUCCUGAAAGAUAGGCUAUUAAAGAGGAAACAACCCUUUUAGCUUAAAAGAUGCCCUUCAAAGCCUCUCCCCACCUUCGCUCCAGAGUCUGUCCUGAGGUUUGCCCACCGUGGGGAGUGCACAACAUUGUGGGCACCAGCCCUCUGGCUUCUAAGGCAGAAUUUCUCUCCAGUCAUUGACAAAACUAUAAACACUAUAAACGCGGGGCUUCCAGCCAGGGCCGAGGGGGUCUGCCUAGGCUCCCACCCACAUAGGAGAGGGGAGCCACAGUCCUAGCCAUUCCAAACCCCAGGGCUGGCAGAUCUGCCUGGGUCUGCUUUAUUUGGUGUUUUGCCACAAAGGAAGCUGCCUUUCUCCCACCGGGCCCCCUCCCCACAAACCGGUCUUUUCAAUAAUAAUAUUUGUUAUGAAGGUUAUUGGGUAAUUAUUGCGAUUUUGUGAAGCAGCCCUUGCUGGAGGUGAAGUCUGUCAUCGCCUAACAAAUGACGCCCGUGCAGUUCACUGCCGGGUUAAGUAAAUGCAGAGAAGAUAAAUCUGCACACCCUAGGAAUCGCCAGCAGAGCACGCUUUAGUACAAGUUCACAGUCAACUUGCCUGCCUGGGCCGGCUCUCCCAACAAUUAGGGCUGCGUCUUUAUUUUUAAAUAAAGGAAAAGUCUCCAGCUCCCAUCGUCUGCUUUCUUCCCAUCUUCUCUUGCCUUCCCUUUUUUCGAGGUUCCCCUACUUCUGUGAGGUGUCCUACUCCAAAUUUGACUCCAAAUAAUGACGAGUGAUUUAAAAAUAAUCUCAUUCCUAUUGAAGUGCUGACACAAGGAGGUAGGAGGCCGAUUUGGCAGGAAAUACAGUCACAAACACACAAGAAUAUCCAAUUCGCCCUCUUAUUCCAAAAGGCGGUGGCAAGCAGGGCGUCCCUGAGCUCCCGGGGUUGGGUGGGGGGCUUCGCCUUGAAAGAAAAGGCCCAGCUUUGUGUAUCUUUGUGGUUGCAACUGCAGGUCAAAAAGUUGAGGGUCAAAAGUUUACGUUGUGCAGCACUCUUAGUCAUCUGCCCAGACAGAGCUUGAGGUCGGUGUUAGAGCUGCGAUCUUGACUAUCAGCACAAAAGAUAAAACGGCUCGGAGCGCCGCGUGUAUCACCGUAUGGACUCCAGGUGAACCCUAGUGGUUGAAUGACCUCAAUUACGAAGGAAAGGAUAGAAAAUUCCUCUUUUCAAGAGUAAUAUAUGCUGUAUUUCAUCUUGAAUGAUCGCUCCCAUUCUGAGGGAAUAGCAGCAGGUAAAUAGGCAUAGAUUAUUGGAACACCCACACCUUAGCUGCUGGAGCACCAGGAGUCUGUUUGUGGCUUCGUCACAAAGUGAAGAAGCUCAGCACUCAUCAGUGGACCUUUAAGAAAUAACGUAGCACGUUUCCAGUGUUCCAUCAUACCUUCCAAGGGGAGGGAAGGGGGCAGGAAACUUCCUUUAUCUGAACUCUGUGAUUGUGAUUGGCCAGUUUGUGUCCUCUUUAGUACCCAUCGUGAUCCCUGAAGUGUGGGAGGAAAAGGGCAAACACAGGCACUUCUUGCAAAAUGUACUUUGCAAUUUUCAAGCACAGACUGCUUUUUCUGAAACUGUCACCCACGAAAUGCAAAGAGCUGGGAAGGGAAAAAAAAAGGAAGUGGAAAUCUUCUGGGGAAAAAAAAAAAAAGGAUUCCCUUACCCCUCCACCAGUGAGAAAAUGCUUAUUGGUACCAUGAAAAUGUUCCCAUCGUUAAAACUUGUUCAUUAUGGUUUAUUGUUAACCCUACACUGAAUGUAAGCGAGUGGUACAAUCUCUGGGUGGAUAAACUGUGACGUGUAUGCCUUUUGAGCGGGAAGGUGGAAUCGACAAAUGCCAGACCACGGAAGAUCACUCCGACAGACUUCUUUUCUCCAGAAAAUACUCUUAAAAAUACAUUUGGAAUAAAAGCUAAGGCGAGAGGAAGCGAGCUGAGGAGGGAGGGCAGGAGAGUAGAAAAGAAGGAAUAGCGUUUUGAGGAAGCUGACUGGAACCACGUCUGGGUGUGCUUUGCAGCUGGAGAACUAAACAGUAUUUUAUUUGUCCUGCACCUAUAUUAACCUUAAGUGUUAGUGCCAUUAGCAUCUGUUUUCCGGGGGAUAUACUUUUCUUGUCUGUGCAUUGAUCUUCGCAUAAUCCGUGUGGGGAAACAGAGGAGAGAGAGAGAGAAUUUUUUUUCCCCCCAGGUUUUUCUUGUAACUCUAGAAAGAAGCUCAUUCAGCUACGCAGAAUGUAGACCCUUGCAGGGCCCCUUAAGAUCAUCCCACUCUAUUCCCGUUGGCUGGAUAGACUGGAUUUGCUGGUGCCAGGUACUUUCAGCGGCAGAAGCAAAUCUUUCCCAAACACUGCCUUCGUGGAAGUGAUCAGAUUGCUUCCGCUGUGCGAUGUGUAAAGUUUUCACUCUGGCCAAGAGCUUGAAGCCAAAUGGGGGUGUGCCAGAUGAGAAGAGAGGAAAGGGAACAACUGUGGUGACUGCUGUUACAGCAGUGCACACUUCAGCACAUCUGGGCGGGUGAAAUGAACAAAACGGAUCGCUGCUCUACUGCUCACCAAGACAGUUCUGAGUCUCUUUGAGAAAAGCCUGGUUAUAGUGCUCUUGGUUUAAAACGUGCCACACCUUAGAAACAUGUCAGCUUCAAGGAUCACAGACACCUCUUAGCUACCUUUUUCAGGUAAAAGAAAAGAUCCCUGCAGAAGUUAUUGUUUUUAGAGUGCUUACUUUUUUUAUUUUUUAAUUUGGAGGAUUUUAAUCUUUAGGCCUCUUGCACAAUCCUGGUUAAAAUUCAUGUCUCAUCUGAAUGUGAAUUUCAAUUCUUAUGCCUGGGUUGGCUUCGCUAGCAGAAACUACUACAAGGAAAUGACCCCCAAACAAUUAAUUGGUUAAAUGCCUGAUAAAGUACUGCUACUCUAAAAUCCUUGGCCGAGUGUAGGUGGCGGGGGAAGCCCUCAAAUGCCACCAUCAGGCAUUUUGAAAUGCAGCCCCUCAGCUCUGUGCUCCAGAGACGUGCUUCAGAUAGGGAACAGUCAGUCUGGGGGACUCUGGCUCUAGAGAACAAAGGACAAAUACAGUCAAUACAUUCCAUAACGUUUACAUUUCCUUUGCUCCCCCCACCCCCACCCCCUUGGUUUUCCCUGAGAAGGAGUGACCUGGGCAAAGCACCCUGCUCCCUAAAAGACACUGUAUAGACCUUUUAGAAGCGCAAAGUCCAAGGCCGAGGUGAACUUCAGGUCAGCGCGUCUAACAAAUAUGAAAAUGUCGGCUGGUGAAGGGCGCGCCUUGUGAUUUAACAAAGACUGUCAAUGCGUAAGAUUAAUAAGAAACAAAAUGCACACGGUGUCACUGUUCGGUCACUUUGAAACUUGGGACAGGGUUGCAUUCAAGAGGGGAGGCUGUUCCAAAUAUAUUCAAAAUGAUUCAAAUCAGAUUCAAACUAGGCUGCAAAACCCUGCCUCCCUCUCACCCUCCCCUUGGACUCCCUUCGUUCUCCUUCUCCAUCUGGGAUUCAAGGACCCGAUGAAAAGUUAUUUCACUUAAUGGGAUUGUAAGAAAGCUUUUGUUGGGAAUAUACGUUAUCCCUGCACGUGGAAAUGAGCAAAUGUGCUUACCAGUUUCCCAAGAAAAGGAUAAUGCUUUCACCCUGCUUGGGACUGGAGCCAGUUGGUGUGCGAAGAUUAGCACGCUCCCUCUCUGCUUGAUGUCAGGGCAUCCCAUCUUUUUCCGGGCGAGAUGCUGCUGGUAAACUUCGGUUUAUUUAUUAAUUGAGUUAGUUUCUUCCUGGCUUUACUUUGGUGUCUUGGAUCUCAUGCGAAGGCAAGAGGUCUUGUUUUGUUCUGUUUUUCAAAAGAUUAUUUGAUUCAAUGGAAUGAUGCUAUGGCUUGCAAAGAGAGAUUGUGGAAGGAUCAGAAAAGGUACUGAGAUUGUUUAUUACAGCCAUAAAUCUUGCAGUAAAAUGUCAAAAUGUCGGUGUGUGAGAUAACACUUGGUGGUCCUGGCUCCGUUUGUGUUUAUGAUAGGAACCACAAAGACAAGUUACAGGCCUUGGGGGGAUUCUGUGUAAGCCCAUCUUCCUAAAGUAAUAGAACCACAUGAAACACAGGCACAGUUAACUCGUUUAGGUUAACCAUAUACAAAACAGUGCCCGAGUUUCGUCAAUACGUUAAAAUAGAAACGCAGUAGAAGGUUCUGAGGCUAAACAACAUGAAUUUUCUGUUUUAGUGUCUGUAAAUAAUAUUGAACAGACAUGGUUAAGACCCUAGUACUCAAGGCCGAUGACAUGAGGAGAGGGGCAAAAUUUCCUUGUCAUGUUUUUUCCUCCCUGAAGCUUAGAGAGCUCAGUUUUGUAAAUUACAUCGUGUGUGUGUGUGUGUGUAUGUGUAUUACUCACGUUAUAUGGCAUAUAUGUGUAUAUAUUAUUUUUCCUGCUGUAGAGAGAUAUUGGUUUAGGCAACUGUAUCACAGACUGGAUUUUCCCCCCGAGCCUAGAGAGGAUGUCUAAAGAUUACAUUCAGUGUUGAUUUCUCUCUGUGGCUCAGAUUUCAUUUUAAAAAUUUUUCAAGGUGCCCCAUGUCGAUGGACAGCACUCUUCACAGACACACAUCCAAUGUGGAAAACCUCUUUGUACCACUUCAGGGUGAUUGCAGUUAGAAAGCUAACAUGAUCCCUUUUUUAACCUCUUUUCCUAAAUUAGUUUAAAGAUUAGUCCCAUAUAAUAGGCUUUAUGUGGCUAAGCAUUAAAUGACUAUCCAUCAAAUGGAUAUAUUCCAGCAUUUAGUAACUCCUAUGAGUAACCGAUAUAAAUGAAGAUAGAACUGACAUUCCUUUUGAAGUGUCUCCAGACUUAAGCUAUAACUUUCCUUGUCUGCUUUCCAGACUUAGUUGUGAGAAGGCUGUUUAUACUGUUCUUUGAAAAAAUCAACUAAGGUGCACCAGCUGAAAAAUCUUUGCUUUGCUUGCCCAUAUGAAAGUAUUUUUAGAAUCGAGACUAUGCUAGUUUGCACUGCUUUAAUCUGCGAUGAAAAGUAGGAUCUAGGUGUGUCUGUUAGAAAAGGAAACGGAAAGUACACACUACGAUCGUGUAAGGCAUCAGUAUUUACUUCAGAGAUCAACAUUAGGUAUAAUUAAUAUGUAAUUCAUUUGUCAAUAACGGCAGUUAAUUGACCCAUCAUAUUUCAAUGACCAAAUGGCAGGCAAAAGUCCUCUUUCUCUACUUUCCAGAGCUGCCGAUGUCGUUAAUAUGCUAACUUUCAGUAAUUCAGAAACUCUAGACUGUUCUUAAAUAUACCUUUUCGUGUCAGUCUGGAAAAGCUGAGACAAAAACAUUCUCAGCGGGAAAAGACCGGUGGCACAAUGCCUGUGCUAUCCUUAGCUUGUUUUUGUUUGGGGAGUGUUCUUUAGUAGGAAGAUGUUGGUUUCCAUGCUGUAUUUUGUGGCGGCAUCGUCGCUUCUAUCCAUCCCCAUCGUCUCUCUCACAAUUGCACCUAUUAAAUUCGAGCAUGUUUAAUUCUGAAUGCCACUUCCAUCAAAUGAGAUGCUAUUAGAAGGUUCUCGUUUUUCUUAGGGAAACAACCAAAUAGAUUCUGCUUC